Molecule: long non-coding RNA, 557 nt
Organism: Aphis gossypii (cotton aphid)
Lineage: Eukaryota; Metazoa; Arthropoda; Insecta; Hemiptera; Aphididae
Exons: 4
Source: RefSeq, a predicted model, not a curated record
GUAUCACACUUCACUUUCAGUACUCAGUGCUCACUGCUCGCCGAGUCAAUCCUAAUAUUAUUUUAGUUUAUAGACUACAUAGGAAUCCACGGAAAUAGUUUUCAACAUUUCAUACUCGAUAAAUACGUUGUAUGGCGCCUACGUAAUUGGAAAUAUGGAAUCGUUAAAACAUUAAAACAAUAGAUUGUAGUAUUGUAUACCUAUUUAAUUAUUACGUCACGUCUAUAACAUGAUACAGGAUGUACGUAUAUGGUAUAUAUAUAGGCACUAAAUGAGUAACCAGGUUUGGCCAAAAUUCCGACGGAUAUACUACAUAAUACAUAUAAUACUAUACAAAACAACAUUGACUGUGUAAGUAAAUGAUGCUGAUUACAAAUAUUAAAAGAAAUGUGAGGAAACAAGCAUUUAAUUAAAAGUUACAGCAGUUUAAAGUUUGCAAUUUUAAUAUGCGAAGUCGCAGCGCGUCAGACUUAAUACACUACUCACUAUUUUGGUACCUAGACACCUAGUUAAUACUUAUUAUUUAUUAAUAGGACUUUGAAAUUAUAGGAGCUAAA